RNAcentral lists this ribosomal RNA (422 nucleotides) under uncultured bacterium. RNAcentral describes it as "bacterial SSU rRNA". It matches the Rfam family "Archaeal small subunit ribosomal RNA", at positions 323 to 747 of the family's 1478-position model. The record is from RNAcentral.
AUACGGGAGGCAGCAGUCGCGAAACCUUUGCAAUACACGAAAGUGUGACAGGGCUAUCCCGAGUGCCAUCCGCUGAGGAAGGCUUUUACCCAGUCUAGAACGCUGGGGGAAUAAGGAGAGGGCAAGUCUGGUGUCAGCCGCCGCGGUAAUACCAGCUCUCCGAGUGGUGUGGAUGUUUAUUGGGCCUAAAGCAUCCGUAGCUGGCUAGGUAAGUCCCUUGUUAAAUCCACCGAAUUAAUCGUUGGAUCGCGGGGGAUACUACUUGGCUAGGGGACGAGAGAGGCAGACGGUAUUUUCGGGGUAGGGGUGAAAUCCUAUAAUCCCGGGAAGACCACCAGUGGCGAAGGCUGUCUGCUAGAACGCGCCCGACGGUGAGGGAUGAAAGCUGGGGGAGCGAACCGGAUUAGAUACCCCGGUAGUCC